This 73-nucleotide transfer RNA is filed under the name Camelus bactrianus (Bactrian camel). It matches the Rfam family "tRNA". From Rfam's summary of the family: Transfer RNA (tRNA) molecules are approximately 80 nucleotides in length. Their secondary structure includes four short double-helical elements and three loops (D, anti-codon, and T loops). RNAcentral also lists the same sequence under 2 other names. The record is from Rfam by way of RNAcentral. Lineage: Eukaryota; Metazoa; Chordata; Mammalia; Artiodactyla; Camelidae.
GGGGGUAUAGCUUAGUUGGUAGAGUGCAUUUUGAGCAUGCACGAGAUACUUGGUUCAAUUCCCAGUACCUCCA